Long non-coding RNA from Sapajus apella (tufted capuchin), 267 nucleotides. RefSeq lists it as uncharacterized. The transcript is spliced from 3 exons. NCBI's taxonomy places the organism in Eukaryota, Metazoa, Chordata, Mammalia, Primates, Cebidae. The record is from RefSeq and is a predicted model, not a curated record.
UUGGCCAGGAUGGUCUCAAACUCCUGACCUCAGGUGAUCUGCCCACCUCCGCCUCCCACAGUGUUGGGAUUACAGGUGUAAGCCACCAUGCCCAUAAUAACAAGAUACUACCAAAUAUUGAUUAAUUUGGAGAAAUCUCUAAGUUUGUUUUUUUGCUGCUCCUUUUCUCGUCCUUAUUACUGCCAUAGCCCUUCUAGUUUCACAGUGAGGUGGCUAUUUUAUGAUUUGUAUUUUUACGUUUCUGCUAUCAUAGAUAUGUGUCUCUCU